UACGUAGGUGGCGAGCGUUGUCCGGAAUUACUGGGUGUAAAGGGCGUGUAGGCGGGACUGCAAGUCAGAUGUGAAAUUCUUGGGCUUAACCCAAGGGCUGCAUCUGAAACUGUAGUUCUUGAGUGCUGGAGAGGAUAGUGGAAUUCCUAGUGUAGCGGUGAAAUGCGUAGAUAUUAGGAGGAACACCAGUGGCGAAGGUGGCUAUCUGGACAGUAACUGACGAUGAGGCGCGAAAGCGUGGGGAGCAAACAGG
This 253-nucleotide ribosomal RNA is filed under the name uncultured bacterium. RNAcentral describes it as "partial 16S ribosomal RNA". It matches the Rfam family "Bacterial small subunit ribosomal RNA", at positions 524 to 776 of the family's 1533-position model. The record is from RNAcentral.